GAUGAACGCUGGCUACAGGCUUAACACAUGCCAGUCGAGGGGAAACGACGGGGAAGCUUGCUUCCCCGGGCGUCGACCGGCGCACGGGUGAGUAACGCGUAUCCAACCUGCCUCUGACUGAGGGAUAACCCGUCGAAAGUCGGCCUAAUACCUCAUGGUAUCGUCUGCGGGCAUCCAACGACGAUUAAAGAUUUCAUCGGUCAGGGAUGGGGAUGCGUCUGAUUAGCUUGUUGGCGGGGUAACGGCCCACCAAGGCUACGAUCAGUAGGGGUUCUGAGAGGAGGGUCCCCCACAUUGGAACUGAGACACGGUCCAAACUCCUACGGGAGGCAGCAGUGAGGAAUAUUGGUCAAUGGGCGAGAGCCUGAACCAGCCAAGUAGCGUGCAGGAAGACGGCCCUAUGGGUUGUAAACUGCUUUUAUGCGGGGAUAAAGUGAGGGACGUGUCCCUCAUGGCAGGUACCGCAUGAAUAAGGACCGGCUAAUUCCGU
RNAcentral lists this ribosomal RNA (490 nucleotides) under uncultured bacterium. RNAcentral describes it as "partial 16S ribosomal RNA". It matches the Rfam family "Bacterial small subunit ribosomal RNA", at positions 28 to 506 of the family's 1533-position model. The record is from RNAcentral.